CUAUGUUCUGCUUACCCGCCGGCAAUUUAUGGGGGCGACGUAGAUAUUUACUAAAAGUGAAAUGCCGCUUUUGCUGUUGACUGCUUGCGGAAAAUAAAUGAAUUUGAUUUCGCCGUUCCGCGAAGAGCUGUCCUGCCAUUAACCCGUACCGUGAGCCUAACUAGCCAACACAGCCCUAUCGAGGGAUUCGAAUGACCCAAAAUAGUCACAAAACAUUGAAACAGUCCUCAAAUAAUGAACACUGCUGUUGGCAAUUUGUCCGGAACACGUUGGACUACAUACUGCUGGAGAGAUUCCGCCGGUGGAGACAGCCAAUUAAAGCGAUGCAGCUGCAAACAGGUCCUGUCUGCAGAGGACUCGCCCCAAUUCCCCGAGGACCAAUUAAAUUAGAAAGAGUCCGGGAAACGAAAGAAAAAUCACAAUCUUUCUGCCACCACUCCCUCUUCUUUCCAUCCUCCCUAUCCCCAUCUCCCGCUCCAUCAGUUUUUCAGUGUCGCUCAGAAUGCCUUCAAGACAAAAUAAAACUACGGAAGCCUACCACUAGGCGGCAUGUUUCAGCUGUUUUAAUCUACUGGCCCCUUUCAUUACUAACAAUAAUUCAAAUUACAAAAAAACAAAAACAAUUAUAACAAAUUGCAGAACAAAAAAAAACCGCAACUGCAGUAAUUCACAGUUUGUAUGAUAAUUUAGUCAAUUCCUGAAAUUCUUUAAACCAAUAUGUACAGUGCAAAUCAGUGGUUAGGCAGUCCACACAACUGACACAGUCUGAAAGCACUGGAGGGAGUAUUAUAGUACUGUAUCAGUAUCAGCUGUGUAUGGAUGAAUAUGGCAA
Anguilla rostrata (American eel) is the source of this 832-nucleotide long non-coding RNA. RefSeq lists it as uncharacterized. The record is from RefSeq and is a predicted model, not a curated record. The transcript has 3 exons. Lineage: Eukaryota; Metazoa; Chordata; Actinopteri; Anguilliformes; Anguillidae.